UACGUAGGGUGCGAGCGUUAAUCGGAAUUACUGGGCGUAAAGCGUGCGCAGGCGGUUUUGUAAGACAGAGGUGAAAUCCCCGGGCUUAACCUGGGAACUGCCUUUGUGACUGCAAGGCUUGAGUGCGGCAGAGGGGGAUGGAAUUCCGCGUGUAGCAGUGAAAUGCGUAGAUAUGCGGAGGAACACCGAUGGCGAAGGCAAUCCCCUGGGCCUGCACUGACGCUCAUGCGCGAAAGCGUGGGGAGCGAACAGG
RNAcentral lists this ribosomal RNA (253 nucleotides) under uncultured bacterium. RNAcentral describes it as "partial 16S ribosomal RNA". It matches the Rfam family "Bacterial small subunit ribosomal RNA", at positions 524 to 776 of the family's 1533-position model. The record is from RNAcentral.